RNAcentral lists this ribosomal RNA (20 nucleotides) under Radopholus similis. Its description in RNAcentral is "partial 18S ribosomal RNA". Lineage: Eukaryota; Metazoa; Nematoda; Chromadorea; Rhabditida; Pratylenchidae. The record is from RNAcentral.
AACCUGCUGUAGGAUCAUUA